This is a small nuclear RNA of 136 nucleotides. Its record names the gene U1. It matches the Rfam family "U1 spliceosomal RNA". Rfam says of the family: U1 is a small nuclear RNA (snRNA) component of the spliceosome (involved in pre-mRNA splicing). Its 5' end forms complementary base pairs with the 5' splice junction, thus defining the 5' donor site of an intron. The record is from Ensembl.
GAACUCUGGGCGUGGCUCUUUCCUGUUGGUUCAUCCACUGCACUCCGGCUGUGCCGACCCCUGCAAAUUCCCCAAAUGUGGGAAUCUCGACUGCAGAAUUUCUGGAAGUGAAGGAUCGCGUUUGCGUUGUCCCCUG